AGCAGCCGCGGUAAUUCCAGCUCCAAUAGCGUAUAUUAAAGUUGUUGCAGUUAAAAAGCUCGUAGUUGAAUUUCGGGAUUAAUAUGUUGGUCGUGCCUUGGUACGUACUGGCAUUAUUGAUUCCUACCUUCUGAAGAACCUCGAUGUCAUUAAUUUGGUGUCUUGGGGAAUCAGGACCGUUACUUUGAAAAAUUAGAGUGUUUAAAGCAGGCUCGCGCUUGAAUACAUUAGCAUGGAAUAAUGAAAUAGGACGUUUGAUUCUAUUUUGUUGGUUUCUAGGAUCGACGUAAUGAUUAAUAGGGAUAGUUGGGGGCAUUAGUAUUCAAUUGUCAGAGGUGAAAUUCUUGGAUUUAUUGAAGACUGACUACUGCGAAAGCAUUUGCCAAGGAUGUUUUCAUUAAUCAAGAACGAAAGUUAGGGGAUCGAAGACGAUCAGAUACCGUCGUAGUCUUAACCAUAAACUAUGCCGACUAGGGAUCGGAUGAUGUUAAUUUUUAAUGACUCAUUCGCGUCCG
RNAcentral lists this unclassified non-coding RNA (515 nucleotides) under uncultured Glomus. RNAcentral's name for it is "SSU rRNA". It matches the Rfam family "Eukaryotic small subunit ribosomal RNA", at positions 569 to 1088 of the family's 1831-position model. Lineage: Eukaryota; Fungi; Glomeromycota; Glomeromycetes; Glomerales; Glomeraceae. The record is from RNAcentral.